UGUGGCUCAAAACUCAAACUCAACGUUGU
RNAcentral lists this non-coding RNA (29 nucleotides) under Rattus norvegicus (Norway rat). Lineage: Eukaryota; Metazoa; Chordata; Mammalia; Rodentia; Muridae. The record is from RNAcentral.